This 74-nucleotide transfer RNA is filed under the name Euzebya pacifica. It matches the Rfam family "tRNA". From Rfam's summary of the family: Transfer RNA (tRNA) molecules are approximately 80 nucleotides in length. Their secondary structure includes four short double-helical elements and three loops (D, anti-codon, and T loops). Further hydrogen bonds mediate the characteristic L-shaped molecular structure. tRNAs have two regions of fundamental functional importance: the anti-codon, which is responsible for specific mRNA codon recognition, and the 3' end, to which the tRNAs corresponding amino acid is attached (by aminoacyl-tRNA synthetases). tRNAs cope with the degeneracy of the genetic code in two manners: having more than one tRNA (with a specific anti-codon) for a particular amino acid; and 'wobble' base-pairing, i.e. permitting non-standard base-pairing at the 3rd anti-codon position. The record is from Rfam by way of RNAcentral. Lineage: Bacteria; Bacillati; Actinomycetota; Nitriliruptoria; Euzebyales; Euzebyaceae.
UCCCCUGUGGCCCGGUUGGAUUGGGCAGCCGCCUUCCACGCGGGCGGUCGCGAGUUCGAUUCUCGCCGGGGGCA